AGAUACCCUGGUAGUCCACGCUGUAAACGAUGGAUACUAGGUGUAGGAGGUAUCGACCCCUUCUGUGCCGGAGUUAACACAAUAAGUAUCCCGCCUGGGGAGUACGGCCGCAAGGCUGAAACUCAAAGGAAUUGACGGGGGCCCGCACAAGCAGUGGAGUAUGUGGUUUAAUUCGAAGCAACGCGAAGANCCUUACCAGGGCUUGACAUCCCUUGACGAUCCUAGAGAUAGGAUUUCUCUUCGGAGCAAGGAGACAGGUGGUGCAUGGUUGUCGUCAGCUCGUGUCGUGAGAUGUUGGGUUAAGUCCCGCAGCGAGCGCAACCCCUGUUGUUAGUUGCCAUCAUUUAGUUGGGCACUCUAGCAAGACUGCCGGUGACAAACCGGAGGAAGGUGGGGACGACGUCAAAUCAUCAUGCCCCUUAUGUCCUGGGCUACACACGUACUACAAUGGCUGUUACAGAGGGAAGCGAAACCGCGAGGAGGAGCAAACCCCCAAAGGCAGCCCCAGUUCGGAUUGCAGGCUGAAACCCGCCUGCAUGAAGUCGGAAUUGCUAGUAAUGGCAGGUCAGCAUACUGCCGUGAAUACGUUCCCGGGCCUUGUACACACCGCCCGUCACACCAUGAGAGUCUGCAACACCCGAAGUCAGUAGUCUAACCGUAAGGAGGACGCUGCCGAAGGUGGGGCCGAUGAUUGGGGUGAAGUCGUA
RNAcentral lists this ribosomal RNA (707 nucleotides) under uncultured bacterium. Its description in RNAcentral is "bacterial SSU rRNA". It matches the Rfam family "Bacterial small subunit ribosomal RNA", at positions 780 to 1490 of the family's 1533-position model. The record is from RNAcentral.